ACACAUCCUCGGCCAUACAGUAGGAAAAUCGCAGAGGAGCCAAGCAGAGGAAGAAGCCAGGAAAAUCAAUAAACAAGUUGGAGGAGAUGAAACCUACAGAGAUGGAGAAGAAAUAAACACGGAGAGGAAGAAAAAAAAAAGAGGCAACGUGGAAGUUCUUGGGUUAACAAGUUCCCUGAGCCUUCCUUUCCCGGAUUGUUCAUCUGGCCCCAGGGAUCCACAUGCUUCCCUCCCAGGAGACUCCGGGUCUCUGAGGCUGGAUCCUUCCCAUGAACAUACAGACAACCAACAGCACGGGGCUGGCAGGAAAGAUGAGCUUUCCAGUGAGAGUAUAAUAACUGACUGGAACAUAAAGAUAAGAGCUGAGGAAGCCUGCCACUAAUGGAAAGAGAGAAUUUCCACAGGAUCAGUAAGUUUUCCCCAUCCCCUCUGCUCUUGAAAUUGAUCAAAACACACCAGUGGCUAUUUAGGUUUUUUUUUCCUGAAUUUUAAAAUGCUAUCGACGUAUUGCUGAUUUACAACGUUAUGUUAAUUUCUCCUGCACAACAAAGUGAUGUGGUUAUGCAUGUACCCAUAUCCCUUCUUUUUCAGAUUCUUUUCCCGUACCGGUUAUCACAGAAUCUUGGGUAGGGUUUUCUGUGUUGUACAGCAGGUCCCCAUUGAUCAUCCAUGCCAUGUACAAUAGUGUGCCUAUGCCAAUCCCAAACCCCCAAUCCAUCCCUCUAUUUAGUUUGUUUUUUUUUUUUUUUCAAAUGCAGCAUGUUUGUGUACAUAAAACUGGAUAUACACUAAAGGAAUAAGGAAAGGAAAAAUAAAAGAAAACUGUAUUGUAGUCA
Molecule: long non-coding RNA, 836 nt
Filed under: Sus scrofa (pig)
Lineage: Eukaryota; Metazoa; Chordata; Mammalia; Artiodactyla; Suidae
Description: lncRNA (ENSSSCG00015035489.1)
Source: RNAcentral